AGGACAAACGCUGGCGGAAUGUAUUAGGCAUGCAAGUCGCACGAGCCUUCGGGCUAGUGGCGGACGGGUGAGUAACACGUGGGUAACCUGCCUCGUAGUGGGGAAUAACUCGCCGAAAGGCGAGCUAAUACCGCAUAACACCCCCAGUGAGAAUCCGGGUGGUAGAAGCUCUGGCGCUACGAGAGGGGCCCGCGGCCGAUUAGCUUGUUGGUGGGGUAAUGGCCUACCAAGGCGACGAUCGGUAGCUGGUCUGAGAGGAUGGUCAGCCACACGGGGACUGAGAUACGGCCCCGACUCCUACGGGAGGCAGCAGCUAAGAAUCUUGCGCAAUGGGCGAAAGCCUGACGCAGCAAUUCCGGCGGUGGGGGACGAAGGCCCGUCGGGUACGUAACCCGUUUACGAGGAAGAGUUCGUGACGGUACUCGUGAAGUAAGACACGACUAACGUACGU
This 451-nucleotide ribosomal RNA is filed under the name uncultured soil bacterium. RNAcentral's name for it is "bacterial SSU rRNA". It matches the Rfam family "Bacterial small subunit ribosomal RNA", at positions 26 to 506 of the family's 1533-position model. The record is from RNAcentral.